GAAAUCCACAUUAUUUUAAAGUUGAUUUCCUUGGAUGAAGUAAAAUUCUUUCUUGGAUUUAUCAUUUCCCGUCCCAAAAUGUUAUUCACGAGUAUUCACAUUCAUCAUAAUUCAUACAUGUAAUCAAAUUCCAUUUCUUUCCCUCAAAAAAAAACCAAAUUCCAUUUCUACGAAUCUACCAUCAGCUUGUUUCAGCACCGCCGGUGAGUUUGGCGCCCCCACUGAUGCCACAGUGUGAUGCGUGUCACAUUAACAACCUCAGCAGCGAGUUUCAGUUUGGCACCCAGAAUUGAACCGCAGAACCUGGAAAAUCGAUUGCUUCUACAUGGACAAGGAGAACAAACAAUGGCCAGGAGAAAGAUUUUGUUGCUCUUGAAACCCUUUGAUGUUCACCAUCUUCGCCUUUCUGAAUCAUUUUCUGGAGUUUCCAAUUCUAAGAAUUUGUGAAGAGGAGAGAGAAAAACUAUGGAAAGGAGAGAGAAACUGUGAAGAGGAGAGAGAAAGUAAUGGAAAAUUCUCAGAUAUUGGUUGAUUUUUCUACUUCAAUGUCAAAUUCUAUUGAUUCUUCUUCUUCAAAUUUGAAUUCCUCUGCUGAUAAUUCGAUUUGUGAAGCUGUUUUUGAAGAUUUAACAUCAUUUGUUGCGGGUCAAGUAAAAGCUUCAUUUGCCUUUCAAUACUGUACUUUUGAAAAAAGAACAAACAUAAAAGAACAUUAAGAUUUAUAUCUAAUAAACAUAAAAGAACAGAACAACAAAACCCAAAAAAAAAAAAAAAACAAGUGCACCGUUCUUAUCAUGAACAUGGCUUGUAUUUCUUAUCCUUCCCCCUCUUUUUUUUUAUUUUUUUUAUUUUUCAUUUUCUAUAUAUAUAAUAUUUCUCCUAUUGGAUUCAUAAAUUCUCAUUUUAGAAACACAUUCUUGAGAGAGAAAGAGGAGUGCUUUUAGUUUCUCCCAACAAAAGAGAGAUUUUAUGAGAGAGAAAGUUCAAAACAAAUUUUCUCCUCCUUCUUUCUCUGAAAUGUGAUUUUAAUUGAAUUACGUUUACAAAAAACUAGUUUAUUAAGCGAAAUACUAUUUCAAUUUCGCUAUUUUUUGAAUUUUUUUAUUCAUUCAAAGAGGUUUAUGCUGUUGAUGAAGGUGCAUCGGGUGAUUAAGGUGCACCAAGAGCACCAUGCACACCCCUGCACAAUCUGAGCGUUGAUCAAGAAGUAGCACAUUUCGAGUUGGGUGCAGGGAAAGGAAUUGUCCAAUUCCUUGAAAGAUUUCAUGUUUCACACUAACAUGAAACUUCUGAUACUUGGCAUGGACAACCUAUCUCGAUAGUUCACUCAUCUACUUCAUGCUAUCUGUGUCUUGCCAUCUUCUUGAUGUAUAAGGUCACAGAAAAAUCGAGUGAAUGUGGAAACUGCAUAUUUGAAAAGUUUAUCUGUCUGGAUUAUUCACUUGUUGGGUCCUCAUGGUUUCAUUUUUUAACUCUUAAUGGUGAACUUGGAUUUUGUUUUGUUUUCUAUCUUAUGAACAGUACAUUACAUGUAUGCUAAUGUUACGAUUUCUUGAAUAAUUAAAAGCUGUUGUCAUGCUACUAGAGUAAUCGUUGUUGUCUGAAGCCAUGUAACUAUGUAAAGCUAUAUCAGAUGCGGUACUAUGACCAUUUUUUUUUGGGUAAUUGUCACCCGGGUACAAUUAAUUCUGUACAAAACUGCAGACACUUCGCCAUUUGGACAACAGAAUUCAAGUUCACAGGGAUGCUAUAAGCUUUUGUCAGGAAGUUCUAAAACGAAAGUCGGUUGAGUGGGAAACUCUAUUUCACACUGAUUUAUCUCGCCCAAUCCGAGACGUGGAUUUGGUCGUAACUGUUGGAGGUGAUGGCACUCUUUUACAAGCUAGUCACUUUAUGGAUGAUAGUGUUCCAGUUGUAGGACUAAAUUCGGAUCCCACACAGGUUGAAGAGGUGGAACGGUUCAAAGACGAGUUUGAUGCUACUAGAAGUGCAGGCUACCUUUGUGCAGCUACUGUCAACAACUUUGAACAGGUACCUGGUUACAACAUUCAAAAUUGUUCCAAGAGGGACCGAAGGUGCUGUAAGUGUUGAGGGAACCAUUGCUGGGCUUCUAGCUUCAAUUCUGCUUGCCUUUGUUGGUUGUCUUAUUCGCCAGGUUCUCUAUUCUACUUGCAGCUGAAUUCUGUACAAUUGUGUUUUCUUUCUUAAAGUUUGUUGCAUGGAAAUUUUGCUUUUUUUCACUGGCUUGCUGGAUAAUACGACAAUGGGCCUACUAAGGAUUGUUAUCUUUGUAGCGUGUUUGGUUACUGGGUAGCGAGUCGCCCGAAGUGCUAGAUUAGCUAAUCUAACUUGUAACGUAAUUAUGUAAGCACCAUAUAAGACCCAAGUUUUUACAUCCAGUGGAGCCUUCUAUGA
Molecule: RNA transcript, 2415 nt
Organism: Spinacia oleracea (spinach)
Lineage: Eukaryota; Viridiplantae; Streptophyta; Magnoliopsida; Caryophyllales; Amaranthaceae
Gene name: NADH kinase-like
Exons: 6
Source: RefSeq, a predicted model, not a curated record